This 492-nucleotide ribosomal RNA is filed under the name uncultured bacterium. Its description in RNAcentral is "partial 16S ribosomal RNA". It matches the Rfam family "Bacterial small subunit ribosomal RNA", at positions 29 to 507 of the family's 1533-position model. The record is from RNAcentral.
AGUGAACGCUGGCGGUAGGCCUAACACAUGCAAGUCGAACGGCAGCACAGUAAGAGCUUGCUCUUACGGGUGGCGAGUGGCGGACGGGUGAGGAAUACAUCGGAAUCUACUUUUUCGUGGGGGAUAACGUAGGGAAACUUACGCUAAUACCGCAUACGACCUACGGGUGAAAGCAGGGGAUCUUCGGACCUUGCGCUAUUGAAUGAGCCGAUGUCGGAUUAGCUAGUUGGCGGGGUAAGGGCCAACCAAGGCGACGAUCCGUAGCUGGUCUGAGAGGAUGAUCAGCCACACUGGAACUGAGACACGGUCCAGACUCCUACGGGAGGCAGCAGUGGGGAAUAUUGGACAAUGGGCGCAAGCCUGAUCCAGCCAUACCGCGUGGGUGAAGAAGGCCUUCGGGUUGUAAAGCCCUUUUGUUGGGAAAGAAAAGCAGAAGGUUAAUACCUCGCUGUUCUGACGGUACCCAAAGAAUAAGCACCGGCUAACUUCGUG